RNAcentral lists this ribosomal RNA (309 nucleotides) under Triticum aestivum (bread wheat). RNAcentral's name for it is "partial small subunit ribosomal RNA". The record is from RNAcentral. Lineage: Eukaryota; Viridiplantae; Streptophyta; Magnoliopsida; Poales; Poaceae.
AUGCUUCAACUUUCAGAGAGUGGCCAGCUCCAAAGAAAUCACGACACAUGGCUCACAGAUCCGACCUGUGGCGAUGAUGACAGCGGGUUGGGCACAGUCAGGCUUGGCCUCGGAAGCUUCUGGGACCUUGUGCUGCUAGUCUAUUGGCAGCACUAUAUUAGGUACUCCAGCUCCGAACCUCCCGGCAAGCCAAACGACGCUGCUGCCGUCACCGCUGCAACCAUUGCUGAAAUACGGCCAGAGAAGCCAAAGCCAACACGCGUUGGCAGCUUGAAGGAACUGAUAGUGUUUGCGGACACGAAAGAGUAG